CCAAAAACAACGGCCGAAAGGCCUUGCCCUAGGGGGGAAACCCCCGACGGUAAACCCUUUGUGAAAACCCUUUGUUUGCCUCGGCGGCACCUUUUAAUUAGGGGUCAGCCCGCCGACGGCACCAACCAAAACUCUUUGAAUUGAAGAAUCUAGUCUGAAUCAAUGGUCGAAUGACUAUA
RNAcentral lists this unclassified non-coding RNA (179 nucleotides) under uncultured Orbiliales. RNAcentral describes it as "sequence contains ITS1". The record is from RNAcentral. Lineage: Eukaryota; Fungi; Ascomycota; Orbiliomycetes; Orbiliales.